GCGACCCCAGGAUGGGCGAGGCCACCCGCCGAGUUUAAGCAUAUC
Molecule: ribosomal RNA, 45 nt
Filed under: Dendrobium denneanum
Lineage: Eukaryota; Viridiplantae; Streptophyta; Magnoliopsida; Asparagales; Orchidaceae
Also listed under: 8 other names
Description: partial 26S ribosomal RNA
Source: RNAcentral